Molecule: ribosomal RNA, 169 nt
Filed under: uncultured cf. Russula
Lineage: Eukaryota; Fungi; Basidiomycota; Agaricomycetes; Russulales; Russulaceae
Description: 5.8S ribosomal RNA
Rfam family: 5.8S ribosomal RNA
About the family: 5.8S ribosomal RNA (5.8S rRNA) is a component of the large subunit of the eukaryotic ribosome. It is transcribed by RNA polymerase I as part of the 45S precursor that also contains 18S and 28S rRNA. Functionally, it is thought that 5.8S rRNA may be involved in ribosome translocation.
Source: RNAcentral
UACAACUUUCAACAACGGAUCUCUUGGCUCUCGCAUCGAUGAAGAACGCAGCGAAAUGCAAUACGUAAUGUGAAUUGCAGAAUUCACUGAAUCAUCGAAUCUUUGAACGCACCUUGCGCCCCUUGGCAUUCCGAGGGGCACACCCGUUUGAGUGUCAAUGAAAUUAUCA